CGUUUGUCGCGUCGAUUGUGAAAAUCUGAGGCUCAACCUCAGACCUGCAGUCGAUACGGGCAAACUAGAGUGUGGUAGGGGAGACUGGAAUUCCUGGUGUAGCGGUGGAAUGCGCAGAUAUCAGGAGGAACACCAAUGGCGAAGGCAGGUCUCUGGGCCAUAACUGACACUGAGGAGCGAAAGUGCGGGGAGCGAACAGGAUUAGAUACCCUGGUAGUCCGCACCGUAAACGGUGGGCACUAGUUGUGGGAACCUUCCACGGUUUCCGCGACGCAGCAAACGCAUUAAGUGCCCCGCCUGGGGAGUACGAUCGCAAGAUUAAAACUCAAAGGAAUUGACGGGGCCCCGCACAAGCAGCGGAGCAUGCGGCUUAAUUCGACGCAACGCGAAGAACCUUACCAAGGCUUGACAUAUAGUGAAAAGUGGCAGAGAUGUCAUGUCCGCAAGGGCGCUAUACAGGUGGUGCAUGGUUGUCGUCAGCUCGUGUCGUGAGAUGUUGGGUUAAGUCCCGCAACGAGCGCAACCCUCGUUCUGUGUUACCAGCAUUAAGUUGGGGACUCACAGGAGACUGCCGGGGUCAACUCGGAGGAAGGUGGGGAUGACGUCAAAUCAUCAUGCCCCUUAUGUCUUGGGCUGCACGCAUGCUACAAUGGCCGGUACAAAGUGCUGCGAGAUCGCAAGAUUGAGCGAAUCACAUAAAGCCGGUCUCAGUUCGGAUUGAGGUCUGCAACUCGACCUCAUGAAGUCGGAGU
RNAcentral lists this ribosomal RNA (752 nucleotides) under uncultured bacterium. RNAcentral's name for it is "bacterial SSU rRNA". It matches the Rfam family "Bacterial small subunit ribosomal RNA", at positions 577 to 1332 of the family's 1533-position model. The record is from RNAcentral.